GCGAACGUGGCGGAACUGGCAGACGCACCAGACUUAGGAUCUGGCGGCCGAAAGGCCAUGGGAGUUCGACCCUCCCCGUUCGCACCA
RNAcentral lists this transfer RNA (87 nucleotides) under Terriglobia bacterium. Its description in RNAcentral is "tRNA-Leu". It matches the Rfam family "tRNA". Rfam says of the family: Transfer RNA (tRNA) molecules are approximately 80 nucleotides in length. Their secondary structure includes four short double-helical elements and three loops (D, anti-codon, and T loops). Further hydrogen bonds mediate the characteristic L-shaped molecular structure. tRNAs have two regions of fundamental functional importance: the anti-codon, which is responsible for specific mRNA codon recognition, and the 3' end, to which the tRNAs corresponding amino acid is attached (by aminoacyl-tRNA synthetases). tRNAs cope with the degeneracy of the genetic code in two manners: having more than one tRNA (with a specific anti-codon) for a particular amino acid; and 'wobble' base-pairing, i.e. permitting non-standard base-pairing at the 3rd anti-codon position. Lineage: Bacteria; Pseudomonadati; Acidobacteriota; Terriglobia. The record is from RNAcentral. RNAcentral also lists the same sequence under 2 other names.